RNAcentral lists this ribosomal RNA (250 nucleotides) under uncultured prokaryote. RNAcentral's name for it is "partial 16S ribosomal RNA". It matches the Rfam family "Archaeal small subunit ribosomal RNA", at positions 474 to 724 of the family's 1478-position model. The record is from RNAcentral.
UACCCGCAGCCCAAGUGGUGGUCGAUUUUAUUGAGUCUAAAACGUUCGUAGCCGGUUUGGUAAAUCCUUGGGUAAAUCGAGAGGCUUAACUUCUCGAAUUCCGAGGAGACUGCCAAACUUGGGACCGGGAGAGGCGAGAGGUACUUCUGGGGUAGGGGUAAAAUCCUGUAAUCCUGGAAGGACCACCGGUGGCGAAGGCGUCUCGCUAGAACGGAUCCGACGGUGAGGGACGAAGCCCUGGGUCGCAAAC